CAGCCGCCGCGGGAAUACGUAGGGCGCAAGCGUUAUCCGGAAUUAUUGGGCGUAAAGAGCUCGUAGGCGGUUUGUCGCGUCUGCCGUGAAAGUCCGGGGCUCAACCCCGGAUCUGCGGUGGGUACGGGCAGACUAGAGUGAUGUAGGGGAGACUGGAAUUCCUGGUGUAGCGGUGAAAUGCGCAGAUAUCAGGAGGAACACCGAUGGCGAAGGCAGGUCUCUGGGCAUUAACUGACGCUGAGGAGCGAAAGCAUGGGGAGCGAACAGGAUUAGAUACCCGAGUAGUCCCUGUCUCUUAUAC
RNAcentral lists this ribosomal RNA (301 nucleotides) under uncultured bacterium. Its description in RNAcentral is "partial 16S ribosomal RNA". It matches the Rfam family "Bacterial small subunit ribosomal RNA", at positions 509 to 807 of the family's 1533-position model. The record is from RNAcentral.